RNAcentral lists this ribosomal RNA (288 nucleotides) under uncultured microorganism. Its description in RNAcentral is "partial 16S ribosomal RNA". It matches the Rfam family "Archaeal small subunit ribosomal RNA", at positions 330 to 622 of the family's 1478-position model. The record is from RNAcentral.
GUGCAGCAGGCGAGAAUCCUCCGCAAUACACGAAAGUGUGACGGGGCCAUCCCGAGUGCCGUCCGCUGAGGACGGCUUUCCCAGUGUACAUUAGCUGGGGGAAUAAGGAGAGGGCAAGCCUGGUGUCAGCCGCCGCGGUAAUACCAGCUCUCCGAGUGGUGGGGACGCUUAUUGGGCCUAAAGCAUCCGUAGCCGGCUGGGCAAGUCCUCCGUUAAAUCCAACGAUUCAAUCGUUGGGCUGCGGGGGAUACUGUCCAGCUUGGGGCGGGAGAGGCCGACGGUAUUCCC